RNAcentral lists this ribosomal RNA (274 nucleotides) under uncultured bacterium. RNAcentral's name for it is "partial 16S ribosomal RNA". It matches the Rfam family "Bacterial small subunit ribosomal RNA", at positions 523 to 796 of the family's 1533-position model. The record is from RNAcentral.
AUACGGAGGGUGCGAGCGUUGUUCGGAAUUAUUGGGCGUAAAGAGCAUGUAGGCGGUCUGUUAAGUCUGGUGUGAAAGCCCGGGGCUCAACCCCGGAAGUGCAUUGGAUACUGGCAGACUUGAGUAUGGGAGAGGAAAGCGGAAUUCGGAGUGUAGGAGUGAAAUCCGUAGAUAUUCGGAGGAACACCAGUGGCGAAGGCGGCUUUCUGGACCAAUACUGACGCUGAGAUGCGAAAGCGUGGGGAGCAAACAGGAUUAGAAACCCCGGUAGUCC